GAUGAACGCUAGCUACAGGCUUAACACAUGCAAGUCGAGGGGCAGCAUGAACAUAGCUUGCUAUGUUUGAUGGCGACCGGCGCACGGGUGCGUAACACGUAUCCAAUCUACCCAUGGCUCGGGGAUAGCCUUUCGAAAGAAAGAUUAAUACCCGAUGGUCUCGGUUUAAGGCAUCUUAGACUGAGUAAAGAUUUAUCGGCGAUGGAUGAGGAUGCGUCUGAUUAGGUAGAUGGCGGGGUAACGGCCCACCAAGUCGACGAUAGCUAGGGGAUCUGAGAGGACGGUCCCCCACACUGGUACUGAGACACGGACCAGACUCCUACGGGAGGCAGCAGUAAGGAAUAUUGGGCAAUGGAGGCAACUCUGACCCAGCCAUGCCGCGUGAAGGACGAAGGCCCCUAACGGGUCGUAAAACUUCUUUUGUCAGGGAAUAAAGUCGCCUACGCGUAGGCGUUUGCAGGUACCUGAAGAAUAAGCAUCGGCUAACUCCGU
Molecule: ribosomal RNA, 492 nt
Filed under: uncultured bacterium
Lineage: Bacteria
Description: bacterial SSU rRNA
Rfam family: Bacterial small subunit ribosomal RNA
Source: RNAcentral